AGCUCUGCAGCUUGUAGGUUUAAGCGCCCAUCUAACGAAUAGGAAGACGUGGGUUCGAUUCCCACCGGAGCAG
RNAcentral lists this transfer RNA (73 nucleotides) under Aedes aegypti (yellow fever mosquito). It matches the Rfam family "tRNA". From Rfam's summary of the family: Transfer RNA (tRNA) molecules are approximately 80 nucleotides in length. Their secondary structure includes four short double-helical elements and three loops (D, anti-codon, and T loops). Lineage: Eukaryota; Metazoa; Arthropoda; Insecta; Diptera; Culicidae. The record is from Rfam by way of RNAcentral.